This 73-nucleotide transfer RNA is filed under the name Pseudomonadota bacterium. RNAcentral describes it as "tRNA-Lys". It matches the Rfam family "tRNA". Rfam says of the family: Transfer RNA (tRNA) molecules are approximately 80 nucleotides in length. Their secondary structure includes four short double-helical elements and three loops (D, anti-codon, and T loops). The record is from RNAcentral. Lineage: Bacteria; Pseudomonadati; Pseudomonadota. RNAcentral also lists the same sequence under 2 other names.
GAGGGCGUAGCUCAGUUGGUAGAGCAGCGGACUUUUAAUCCGCGGGUCCCGAGUUCGAGUCUCGGCGCCCUCA